CCGACAAAGGAAAUUAUGAAUCGUAGCUUCAAUAAUCUGUUUCUCGUUGUUUCUAUCAUUUUAUUGUCAGGAUACUUCGUAAUUCCUUCCGCAGGAAUGGAUUCACCGAGGUGCGGAACUGGCUACCCUGCAGAAUUCUGCGGUUCCCCACUUAUGAACGAAGCGUGUCCGGACAUGUGUAGAAGACUGAAAAGGGGAAGAAAAUAAUUAUAGGUAUAAAACACAUAAAUAUGAUGGUUGAAUUAAUAAUUCUUUGCUAUUUUCUGUUCGGUGUAAAAGAAUGUGAAAAUAAAUAAAACUUAUUCAUCAUUAA
Molecule: long non-coding RNA, 313 nt
Organism: Dufourea novaeangliae
Lineage: Eukaryota; Metazoa; Arthropoda; Insecta; Hymenoptera; Halictidae
Exons: 3
Source: RefSeq, a predicted model, not a curated record